Molecule: long non-coding RNA, 2649 nt
Filed under: Hordeum vulgare
Lineage: Eukaryota; Viridiplantae; Streptophyta; Magnoliopsida; Poales; Poaceae
Description: long non-coding RNA (HVUL_LNC005321)
Source: RNAcentral
CUGGAGCCCCUCGAGCAAGGGGACAGCUUCCCCUCACUCCCAAAAGCGUCACCGGCCAUCCAAUCGAGCUCCCGGAGCUCCCCUACCCUCGCAUUGCCGCCAUGGCCGCCGCCUAGCUCCUCCGAAAUUGGAGCAGCCCGAGCACUCUCUCUCCCUCCUAACCUCACCUGGAGAACCCAUCGUCCCUGACGCACCUACCCAUCCCCUCGCCUCACCGUCGGAGGCUCUGUGGUCGCAUGCCAAGAUCUGGUCGUCGCCGCUAUUCCCGGCCGCCGUGAGCCGUCGUUGCUCUGCCCCUCUUCGGCGUCUGUUGCCGCUCCACGCAGGAGAAGCGCCUCCCUCCGCGCCCGCCGAUGGCUUCGCCCGUGCCGGAGGUGGCCGGAGCCAUCGGGGGAACGUCACCGGUGUCGUGACCCUCCCCUACCUCGUCUGUUCUAUUGGGGCAAGGCAAGAGGAGGAAGAAGAAGAUAGGGGGAGGAGAGAGAAGGAGCAUGGGCCCCAGGCAUCAGUGGCCCAGAGGCCGACCCCGCCUUGCCACGUCAGUUAAGUGGAAGCGCCUUUGUGCGUUUAUGUUUUCCUGGCAGGAAGGCGUAUACCAGAGGAAGGCGCGACCAACUUAGCUGCCAGGGACCCCGUUGUAAAUAUUUUUAUUUCAAACAAGUCCCUGCCACCAAAACCAUCAUAUCUUUUUACCCGUAACUCCGAUUCCAGUGAUUCCAAAGCCCACGUCUUCGUCUCGUCGAGCCCGACAAGAUGGUAUAAUUUACACCAUGUGAUCACAUAGUGGAAAGGACCGUGCUUCCCUUGCCGUAAACAGCCCCUCCUCCGGGAGAGAACUGUUUCCGGCGAUUCUUUCCGCGAGCUUCUCGCGCUUCUUCCCGGUGGUUCCAUCAUCCCACGCAAGCCACAACUUUCAUUUUCUUCAUUGCAUUGCAAUGUCAUAGUCUCAUUAACUACUUUAAUAACAAAUAUAUCUGUUGAUAGUCUCGAAUGUGAGUAUGCACGGUUGAAUAAAUUAUUACUGAGAUGAGUACGUGAUCGUUAGUGACUAGUGUCUUACACACUAGUCGAUAAUAUGAGGUUGAGAUUACUGUCUACGAUUACGUUGUGAAUACAGAUCGACAGUAGUGGCUUGAGCUUAUUAUUUAUCAGAUUACUGUGACAUCGGAGUGUCAGCUAUGACAGACAUAUUAUUCGGGAUAAGAUACCUAGUUGGUUGAUCAAAGUGACCUGUCUGGGCUCAUCAGUGGAACCACAUUUGCCGAUAUGGGACGACCUUGACUUGAGCUGAUCGCGUGAUAUUUCACCGGUACCUCCAAAGAGGGAGGGUUAUGCACGCGUGCUACCUUGGCCCGAUAGGCGGUGAUAACCCUGUGAGCUAGUUGAGUUGUUUGUGCCGGCGUCCCCGGUUGGGACAGUUUAGUUUGGCCACGAUGGUGGCAGGUGUCAUGAGGACACAUGGCCACCCAGGGCAGGACUCCGGGAGAGGAUGAAUGCCGGUGGUACGAUGAAAGAGUCACGGGUCAGGCAAGUUUCGUUGGAGUAAUGCUAGUCCACCCGAAUGGGAUCACGAGGUUAGUGCUCCAUGGUGUGGGUAAAGUGUGCAACCUCUGCAGAGUGUCAAAUCUAUUCGAAUAGCUGCGUCCACGGUAAUGGACAACCCGACCAGACCUCAGUAGAUAGUCAAUCAUAACUAUGAUAGUAAUGAUGGAAGAACUCAUCUGAGUAUGGUAACAGUUGGGCAUCGUGCCGAUGAUAAGUCUUGGUAUCCGGCGCAAGGAUACUUGCUAAAGAUUCUCGGUAAGAUCACAAGAGUUGGGAUCAUUAGGGUACAGUGAUAGAAGUCUGGUAUAGUUAUUUUUCAACUACCCCUUAGUGAUAAUAAAUCUUUAUCUGAUCUUUACUGCUAUGAUGUUGUCUUGCCUUAAUGCUAAUGUUUGUUGUGAGCUUGCGAGUACAUUCAAAGUACUCACCUAGCUUGUCAUGCCAGUUUGCAGGUCAUGCCUUGAUUGCCUGAUUGUCGAAGAUUCCGAGUUGUGAGCUAGGAUACGUGUUCCAGCCAGAGUCCCUGUGGAGUGGAGUUCAUCACAUCCGUUGUUGUUCCGCUGCUAGUGUAGGAUUUAUCGUAGGUAGGUGUAGUAUCGCCAAGGCGAUGUAAUCCAUGUAUCCUUGUAAUAUUUUCCAUAGUAAUAAAGAUCUGAUUUGUUCUGUGCCAACGGUUCCAUAUUCCAGAAGACUAGUCCUUGGGCUGGAAUACGGGGCGUUCCGGUUUCCUCUGAGCCGGGGUGCCAUAGAGGGGCAUCGCAGCUCACCACAGAGCUGGGCGCAUCCCCACAACCCUGCCCACUUCAGCCAAGGGAGGGAGGCCUCCUCCUAGGGCGUCGGCCAACCCAACUUGGGUGGCAAGGCACCCAAGUAGGAGGGGCCACCCAACCCUAGCUGCCACCCCACCUUGGCCGUCAGCCCCUAGGGGAAACCGUAGGUCACCUCUCCUCCUCCUACCCCAUAUAUAUAGAGAGGUAGAGAGAGGGCAGCAACAUGACAUCUUGCCACGGUGUUGCUCCUCCUCUCCCUCGUAGUUCUUUUCCUCUAAACAUCGCGCUGCAAAGCCCUAAUGAUCUGUCACCACCAUCACCUCACCAUGCCCUC